GGAAGGAUCAUUACCGUAAAACAAAAUAUCAAAAAUUGAUAUUAAAACAAAAUGCACUCUGUCAGUGGAGAGAUCCAGCACACAGUAGUGGUGGGAAAAUGUCCCAUGUCUCGUGGGUAAAUCCUGCUGCUGCUGCUCGUGUGUUAAUCUGCUGUUCACAGAGUUGCGACUCACCACGGCAAAGUCUCUAUAUGACUGUGAGACGCUGUGGCAUGUAGUCACCAUUGUUGUGCUACAUGGAAAAAAGUCGUGCUCACCACGCUCUGGUAUGGUGGAUGUGGACUGAGACAAGUAAUGUUCAUGUGUCUCAACUCACAGGCGAAGCCAAAGCAGGCAGUGAGCACGGGUAUUUGCUCCCUCCCAGGAGUAAUCUUCUCGAAAUGUAUGUGAGAAGGCGUGAAACUGGGAGGUGGGCUAUGCCACCAUAAUUUUGAAACUUGAUCAUACAACAAGUGAAAAAUAUUUAUAAAAUAUCAACCUCGAGUGGUGGAUCACUCGGCUCGUGGGUCGAUGAAGAACGCAGCUAACUGCGUGCAGACGUGUGAACUGCAGGACACAUGAACACCGACGUUUUGAACGCAUAUGGCGGCCUGACAUAAAUGUCAGGCCAUGUCUGGCUGAGGGUCGGAUAUGAACCAACAACCAAAGUUGCCCAUGUAAGGGGAAGAAGAUGUUUGUUUUCUUCUCUGGGUACUAAUCGCCAGGUCUGCAUGCAAGUGUAGGCCUGGUUAGAAUGGAAUGAGGUGAUGUCCUCAUGAAACGGAUCUGUGAUUAUUCUCAAGUCCGUGAGGCAUUUACUCUCAUUUGAAAUGAGUUGUCUUAAGGCAACAAGAAUUUCUCAUAGUUGCGACCUCAGAGCAGGCAAGAUUACCCGCUAAAUUUAAGCAUAUUAAUAAGCGGAGGAAAAGAAACUAACAAGGAUUCCCUUAGUAACGGCGAGCGAAAAGGGAAGAGCCCAGCGCUGAAUCUGGCAUCCCCCGGGUGUCAAGAAAUGUGGCGUUUGGGACGAGACAUUGCCUGAACGUGAUGGUUAUCCAAGUCCCUCUUGAACGGGGCCAUCGCCCAUGGAGGGUGCUAGGCCCGUACGAUAGCCUUGUUGUUCAGUGCGUCUUGUCCGUAGAGUCGGGUUGCUUGGGAGUGCAGCCCAAAUCAGGUGGUAAACUCCAUCUAAGACUAAAUAUGACCACGAGACCGAUAGCGAACAAGUACCGUGAGGGAAAGUUGAAAAGAACUUUGAAGAGAGAGUUCAAUAGUACGUGAAACCUCUCGGGGGUAAGCGGGCAGAACCUGCAAGUAUUGAUGGGAGAUUCAGGCUUGGUACUGGUGACUGGGAGUGCUUAGUUAGGCUGGGAUUCGUUCUUGGCUGGUGUGUGCUUCUUGAUUUGCCGGUACUGCGCCGCAUUUCUCCUUAUCAUCCGGGUUGCAUGCAACUAAAUGGUGUUCUAGGUGCUGGGGUACUGCAAAUCCUCGUGGUUUGAGUCCUGGUUACCGGAUACUGUUGUGGUUGUUGAAAUCGAGUGAACAGGCGUUUGUCGCGGUCACAGGUUCUGGCGAGCAGGGUGCACAUGAUAUGUGGACGGGUAACCGUAGCAUGUUGUGUGUGCUGGUUGUCAGCCGGAGCUUUUGUGGCUCUGUUCAGAGAAUUGCAAUCUAAAACAUGCGUGGUCUGCCUGUCCCGUCUUGAAACACGGACCAAGGAGUCUAACAUGUAUGCGAGUCAUUGAGACUUGAAACUCAAAGGCGUAAUGAAAGUGAAGAUCCGUUUACACGGAUUGAGGAGAGAUCAUGGCAAUACUUGGGAUUCCGCAAGGUUUCCCGAGUACUAAAUUGUAUGCGCAUCUCCUGGACGUCUAUACCUCUGAAGGUGGGGCGUACCUAGAGCAUACACGUUGGGACCCGAAAGAUGGUGAACUAUGCCUGGUCAGAACGAAGCCAGGGGAAACCCUGGUGGAGGUUCGUAGCGAUUCUGACGUGCAAAUCGAUCGUCGGAACUGGGUAUAGGGGCGAAAGACUAAUCGAACCAUCUAGUAGCUGGUUCCCUC
RNAcentral lists this unclassified non-coding RNA (2042 nucleotides) under Collembola environmental sample. Its description in RNAcentral is "sequence contains 18S rRNA gene, ITS1, 5.8S rRNA gene, ITS2, 28S rRNA gene". The stretch from base 848 to 2042 matches the Rfam family "Eukaryotic large subunit ribosomal RNA", at positions 1 to 961 of the family's 3401-position model. Lineage: Eukaryota; Metazoa; Arthropoda; Collembola. The record is from RNAcentral.